GAACUGGGCUGGGAGGAGUGCAGAGUAUAUGGAUAUUUUCAAUGAGGCUCUGUGUAAACAUGCAGUGGUGCUUCUAUUCUGACAUGUAAAAAACAACUACGAAAAUGUGCAUUUAUCUAAAAGCUCAAGAAUGAGUGGGAGAUGUGUGUUACCAUGAAGGACCAGAAAGUCUUGAGAAAAGUGCCCCCAGAAGAUUGGACGAUGACUGCCUGCAUUGGUGAGCAAUCUUACUGUCUAUUGACUUAAAUUCUAAUCUUCUGGAAGCGCUCUCACAGACAGAAAUAACGUUUUACCAACUAUCUAGGAUGCCCCUUGGAAGAACUGGAAAUUUAAAAUCUGUGGUCACAAAGGAGAGUAAAGAGAAAAGACAUGCUACCCUCUAAAAUUACAUAAUUUGUUAAAAGAAGACAGAAAACAAUAGAUAAAAGAAAAACAGGAUGUUGGGAGAAAUGUGGAAAGAAGACACAAAGUAAAGAAGACAAAAGUCAAGUAACCUUCUGAGGACAAAGAAGCAAUUCUUUGGUUUCAUAAAUACUUUCAAAUUUAUAUUUAGCUUAUUCAUUUCUAUAAUCCUUAUGUAUUUCUCUUACAUUUUUCCAUAGUGUCUAUCUAUUAAUUGUAUCUUUACUUGAA
Molecule: long non-coding RNA, 633 nt
Filed under: Homo sapiens (human)
Lineage: Eukaryota; Metazoa; Chordata; Mammalia; Primates; Hominidae
Description: HSALNT0373883
Source: RNAcentral